Long non-coding RNA from Monopterus albus (swamp eel), 737 nucleotides. RefSeq lists it as uncharacterized. The transcript has 3 exons. NCBI's taxonomy places the organism in Eukaryota, Metazoa, Chordata, Actinopteri, Synbranchiformes, Synbranchidae. The record is from RefSeq and is a predicted model, not a curated record.
UUUUGCUAAUUCCUGCAGCCAUCUGCUAGCAGUGUUCUUGGCGUACAGCACUGAGGAAAAAUAACAGAGCAGCUGGCAUACCACACAGUGAUGCAGUAUGUCAAAACACUCUAAAUGGUGGAGCAGUAUAAUGUCUCCAGCACAUUCUCCAGGAGAGGCCAUUCUACCGAGAAGCCUUGCUGGUCAUCCGCCUUGCAUUGAGGCUGUCCUCGCAAGCAGCCUCUCCAUUCUCCUGCUUGGCUCUCUCAUUAUUUUGGGCCGGAGCCUGAGACUCUGGUUAGGCUGCCCUGUGUGUUUCUUGUGGGUCUCCUCCUAGGUGGCAACGUCCUGUUUUUUUGUUUUUUUGGCACCAAGUGAAUUUGACCUGUGGGCUUUCUGUAUUGUUCCCAUUUUUCCAGUUCCCCUCCUUAGGUAUUGGACUCUCGAGUUUGUGUGUGGGACAUGGUGGUGUGGUACUUUUGGUUUUUGGCCCAUUCAGGGCAGGGAUUUUCCACCUCGCCAUUUAAAAGGUACAAUCGUGGUAUAGGGGUCAAUGUAGACCCUCCAAAAUGCCACAACAAGAAGCAAUAUUUAUGCUGAGAGGAGUUCACCAUACUUUUGUAUAAAUGGGACAAGGUGGAAUGGGGGAUUGGGGGUUGGGGUGAGAGGGAGAGCUAGAGGGUUAAUGAGGAGAGAGAGCAGUGUCAGUGAAUUAAAAUGUUGUUUUGUGAUUGUUUCAAUGUGGUUAUGUUCUAAAG